Molecule: ribosomal RNA, 505 nt
Filed under: Procloeon africanum
Lineage: Eukaryota; Metazoa; Arthropoda; Insecta; Ephemeroptera; Baetidae
Description: partial 16S ribosomal RNA
Rfam family: Archaeal large subunit ribosomal RNA
Source: RNAcentral
CAUCGCCUAAGGCUAAUAUCUUAGGUACCGCCUGCCCAAUGAUUUUCAAUGGCCGCAGUAUUCUGACUGUGCAAAGGUAGCAUAAUCACUUGUCUUUUAAUUGAAGGCUUGUAUGAAUGGCACGACGUAUGAAAGACUUUCCCCUAAAUAACCCCUAACUUAAUCUGUAUGUCAAAAAGCGUACAUGCCCACGCAGGACGAGAAGACCCCGUAGAUCUUAAUAAUAAUUACUGUAAUUAUUUUGGCUGAUUAAUUGAUUACAAACAACUACUUAUUUGGUUGGGGCGACAUGAACCGUAAUAACGCUUCUAAUUAAAACUCUUAUACAAGGCUACUUGACCCGUUAACGAUUUAAAAAUUAAGUUACCUCGGGGAUAACAGCGUAAUCUAAUUUAAGAGUUCUUAUCAAAAAUUAGGGUUGCGACCUCGAUGUUGGAUUAGGAUACAAUAUAAGUGCAGAAGCUUGUAAUUGGGGUCUGUUCGACCUUUAAAUUCCUACAUGAUC